GAUCUACUCCCUCCGUUCCGAAUUACUUGUCGCGGGCAUGGAUGUAUCUAGAUACAUCCAUUUAUGCGACGAGUAAUUUGGAACGGAGGGAGUAGUUA
Molecule: non-coding RNA, 98 nt
Organism: Triticum urartu
Lineage: Eukaryota; Viridiplantae; Streptophyta; Magnoliopsida; Poales; Poaceae
Source: Rfam